Molecule: ribosomal RNA, 253 nt
Filed under: uncultured bacterium
Lineage: Bacteria
Description: partial 16S ribosomal RNA
Rfam family: Bacterial small subunit ribosomal RNA
Source: RNAcentral
UACGUAGGGGGCAAGCGUUGUCCGGAAUCAUUGGGCGUAAAGGGCGCGUAGGCGGCCUGUUAAGUCGAACGUGAAAUCCCCGGGCUCAACCCGGGAACUGCGUCCGAUACUGGCAGGCUUGAAUCCGGGAGAGGGAUGCGGAAUUCCAGGUGUAGCGGUGAAAUGCGUAGAUAUCUGGAGGAACACCGGUGGCGAAGGCGGCAUCCUGGACCGGCAUUGACGCUGAGGCGCGAAAGCCAGGGGAGCAAACGGG